CAUCAGUAAGGCAUUUAUUCUGGUAAUGGAAUAUAUCCAGUGUGAGCUGAUCAAUGGCGCACCAGCCGGUGAUACAUCCGAAUGUCAUUGACCUGAAAAGAAAAUGACGAGUGUCAAAGAUUGUACAAUGAUGCUAACUGCUAAGACUGAAAAUGCAAAAGAUAGUUACUUCAAUCCAGAAAUUCCUUUAACAGUAUAUACAACUGAAAAUGCAAUUACUAAAAGGCAUUCUUUAAUUCAGGUACGCAACUUCACUCUUCACAAAUAAAACUCAUCAAUCCGUUUAAAAAAUGAACAUGGUAAUACUUCAAAGAAAUAAGGUUUUCUGUGAUUCUCAACUGGUUUGAUAUAUACUCUAGCUGUAGUACAAAAAGGAAAAAUACAAAAGUUAAAGCAUUUAAAAGAGAAACCUCUAUGCAACAGCAUCCAAGAACCAAGAGUCACUUGACAGAUAAAAAAAUAUGCAAACUAGGCAAGGCAAGAAGAAAUCUGAUAGAACAGGUAAUUUCUACAUUUUUUAUGAAACAAUUUCUACAUUACUAGGAGACUUAAUCGGAGCGUUGCAAUUGGACUAACUAAUAUGUAUACGGGUCUACGAAAGCACAAGUGCACAUCUAGACUGUAUCACUUGCAACAUCACAGAACAUCUAGUUUUGGUCAAUUACUUGAGACACAGAAAAAUAGAGUUCCAAUCCAAAUACUUGGUCCAGCUCAAUUGACACUUGCAAGGUCUACA
Molecule: long non-coding RNA, 736 nt
Filed under: Setaria viridis
Lineage: Eukaryota; Viridiplantae; Streptophyta; Magnoliopsida; Poales; Poaceae
Description: long non-coding RNA (SVIR_LNC009975)
Source: RNAcentral